GACGACCCCUCGUGCGGCGUCACCUCACCGAAUCCCCCCAGGGCCGGAAGGCAGCAAGGGUACGUGGGCUCUGGCGGGUGUGCGGGGGGUCCCUUUU
This 97-nucleotide signal recognition particle RNA is filed under the name Micrococcales bacterium. Its description in RNAcentral is "signal recognition particle sRNA small type". It matches the Rfam family "Bacterial small signal recognition particle RNA". From Rfam's summary of the family: The signal recognition particle (SRP) is a universally conserved ribonucleoprotein involved in the co-translational targeting of proteins to membranes. Archaeal SRP consists of a 7S RNA and homologues of the eukaryotic SRP19 and SRP54 proteins. In most bacteria, the SRP consists of a 4.5S RNA and the Ffh protein (a homologue of the eukaryotic SRP54 protein). Lineage: Bacteria; Bacillati; Actinomycetota; Actinomycetes; Micrococcales. The record is from RNAcentral.